RNAcentral lists this ribosomal RNA (253 nucleotides) under uncultured bacterium. RNAcentral describes it as "partial 16S ribosomal RNA". It matches the Rfam family "Bacterial small subunit ribosomal RNA", at positions 524 to 776 of the family's 1533-position model. The record is from RNAcentral.
UACCGCGGUCUCAAGCGUUGUUCGGAUUCAUUGGGCGUAAAGGGUGCGUAGGCGGCGCGGUAAGUCGGGUGUGAAAUCUCGGAGCUUAACUCCGAAACUGCAUUCGAUACUGCCGUGCUUGAGGACUGGAGAGGAGACUGGAAUUUACGGUGUAGCGGUGAAAUGCGUAGAUAUCGUAAGGAAGACCAGUGGCGAAGGCGGAUCUCUGGACAGUUCCUGACGCUCAGGCACGAAAGCGUGGGGAUCAAACAGG